RNAcentral lists this ribosomal RNA (253 nucleotides) under uncultured bacterium. Its description in RNAcentral is "partial 16S ribosomal RNA". It matches the Rfam family "Bacterial small subunit ribosomal RNA", at positions 524 to 776 of the family's 1533-position model. The record is from RNAcentral.
UACGAAGGACCCAAGCGUUAUCCGGAUUCAUUGGGUUUAAAGGGUGCGUAGGCGGGCCUAUAAGUCAGUGGUGAAAGCCCUUCGCUUAACGAAGGAAUUGCCAUUGAUACUGUAGGUCUUGAGUACAGUUGAGGUGGGCGGAAUGUGUCAUGUAGCGGUGAAAUGCUUAGAUAUGACACAGAACACCGAUUGCGAAGGCAGCUCGCUAAACUGUAACUGACGCUGAGGCACGAAAGCGUGGGUAGCAAACAGG